Molecule: ribosomal RNA, 1400 nt
Filed under: Enterobacter cloacae
Lineage: Bacteria; Pseudomonadati; Pseudomonadota; Gammaproteobacteria; Enterobacterales; Enterobacteriaceae
Description: bacterial LSU rRNA
Rfam family: Bacterial large subunit ribosomal RNA
Source: RNAcentral
UUAACGCUGAGGUGUGAUGACGAGGCACUACGGUGCUGAAGUAACAAAUGCCCUGCUUCCAGGAAAAGCCUCUAAGCAUCAGGUAACACGAAAUCGUACCCCAAACCGACACAGGUGGUCAGGUAGAGAAUACCAAGGCGCUUGAGAGAACUCGGGUGAAGGAACUAGGCAAAAUGGUGCCGUAACUUCGGGAGAAGGCACGCUGAUAUGUAGGUGAAGCCCCUGCGGGUGGAGCUGAAAUCAGUCGAAGAUACCAGCUGGCUGCAACUGUUUAUUAAAAACACAGCACUGUGCAAACACGAAAGUGGACGUAUACGGUGUGACGCCUGCCCGGUGCCGGAAGGUUAAUUGAUGGGGUUAGCGGUAACGCGAAGCUCUUGAUCGAAGCCCCGGUAAACGGCGGCCGUAACUAUAACGGUCCUAAGGUAGCGAAAUUCCUUGUCGGGUAAGUUCCGACCUGCACGAAUGGCGUAAUGAUGGCCAGGCUGUCUCCACCCGAGACUCAGUGAAAUUGAACUCGCUGUGAAGAUGCAGUGUACCCGCGGCAAGACGGAAAGACCCCGUGAACCUUUACUAUAGCUUGACACUGAACACUGGUCCUUGAUGUGUAGGAUAGGUGGGAGGCUUUGAAGCGUGGACGCCAGUCUGCGUGGAGCCGACCUUGAAAUACCACCCUUUAAUGGCUGGUGUUCUAACGUAGACCCGUAAUCCGGGUUGCGGACAGUGUCUGGUGGGUAGUUUGACUGGGGCGGUCUCCUCCCAAAGAGUAACGGAGGAGCACGAAGGUUAGCUAAUCCUGGUCGGACAUCAGGAGGUUAGUGCAAUGGCAUAAGCUAGCUUGACUGCGAGAGUGACGGCUCGAGCAGGUGCGAAAGCAGGUCAUAGUGAUCCGGUGGUUCUGAAUGGAAGGGCCAUCGCUCAACGGAUAAAAGGUACUCCGGGGAUAACAGGCUGAUACCGCCCAAGAGUUCAUAUCGACGGCGGUGUUUGGCACCUCGAUGUCGGCUCAUCACAUCCUGGGGCUGAAGUAGGUCCCAAGGGUAUGGCUGUUCGCCAUUUAAAGUGGUACGCGAGCUGGGUUUAGAACGUCGUGAGACAGUUCGGUCCCUAUCUGCCGUGGGCGCUGGAGAAUUGAGGGGGGCUGCUCCUAGUACGAGAGGACCGGAGUGGACGCAUCACUGGUGUUCGGGUUGUCAUGCCAAUGGCACUGCCCGGUAGCUAAAUGCGGAAAAGAUAAGUGCUGAAAGCAUCUAAGCACGAAACUUGCCCCGAGAUGAGUUCUCCCUGACCCUUUAAGGGUCCUGAAGGAACGUUGAAGACUACGACGUUGAUAGGUCGGGUGUGUAAGCGCAGCGAUGCGUUGAGCUAACCGAUACUAAUGAACCGUGAGGCUUAACCUU